This is a non-coding RNA of Salvia hispanica, 691 nucleotides long. Lineage: Eukaryota; Viridiplantae; Streptophyta; Magnoliopsida; Lamiales; Lamiaceae. The record is from RefSeq and is a predicted model, not a curated record.
UUCACACGCACACACAUAAAUCGAAUGGGAGAUCAGGAGCAAGAGAAGGGAUAUUGCAGAUAAUUAUAGAGUCCAACCCAACAAUCCAUCAACACUUUAUUCCCAAGGGAGAAUCGAGAGAAAAGUAAUACUGUGGCGCGAGGAAUUGUUUUCAAAAAUAUUGGAAAGCAUACGAGGUUGAGCAGCGAAGUGGUGGAGGAAGUGCUAUUGAGACAAUACAUUUAAUUCAGUCAGAUUAGGACUCUCGGAGGUUCAUGUCUCCAUACAUGGAACCGCGUUCUUUUCCUUCCGUUAUGCAUCUUAAAAGACUCAAGUCUAUUUUGUUCAAAACUCUGGUAUUUUGAAAACUUUUACAAACAAUUACUCGAGUUUUCAUAAGCGAGUAUCUUUUCCUCUAUGUAUCAGCACUUGAUUAGUCAUGUCUCCAACCAAUGUUUGAUUUUAUUUUCCCCUAUUUCUUUCCCCGCUUCUUAUACCCCCGCCCCUAGUCACGGUUUCCCGACUGUACUAUCCUUAGUAAGUGCGGUCGUGACACUAGUAGUAAUAACUAUCAGUGGGUGUUGCAGAGCUAAUAAAGAUUUAUGUUAGUUUAAUAUUCCAUGUCUUGAACGCUUCGGCUAAGAUACUAUUUCUUUUAAGUUUAUGUACCGAGAAUGAUACUCUUAUUUUGUCAAGCUAUUCUUAUUAUUCU